GCCAGCUUAGCUCAGCAGGUAGAGCAUCCGCCUUGUAAGCGGCAGGUCGUCGGUUCAAUUCCGUCAGCUGGCUCCA
RNAcentral lists this transfer RNA (76 nucleotides) under candidate division SR1 bacterium. RNAcentral describes it as "tRNA-Thr". It matches the Rfam family "tRNA". From Rfam's summary of the family: Transfer RNA (tRNA) molecules are approximately 80 nucleotides in length. Their secondary structure includes four short double-helical elements and three loops (D, anti-codon, and T loops). The record is from RNAcentral. Lineage: Bacteria; Candidatus Absconditibacteriota.